RNAcentral lists this ribosomal RNA (301 nucleotides) under uncultured bacterium. RNAcentral describes it as "partial 16S ribosomal RNA". It matches the Rfam family "Bacterial small subunit ribosomal RNA", at positions 509 to 809 of the family's 1533-position model. The record is from RNAcentral.
CAGUAGCCGCGGGAAUACGUAGGGUGCAAGCGUUAAUCGGAAUUACUGGGCGUAAAGCGUGCGCAGGCGGUGUUGUAAGACUGAUGUGAAAUCCCCGGGCUCAACCUGGGAACUGCAUUGGUGACUGCAGCGCUGGAGUGCGGCAGAGGGGGAUGGAAUUCCGCGUGUAGCAGUGAAAUGCGUAGAUAUGCGGAGGAACACCGAUGGCGAAGGCAAUCCCCUGGGCCUGCACUGACGCUCAUGCACGAAAGCGUGGGGAGCAAACAGGAUUAGAUACCCCUGUAGUCCCUGUCUCUUAUAA